This 163-nucleotide ribosomal RNA is filed under the name Poa crassicaulis. RNAcentral describes it as "5.8S ribosomal RNA". It matches the Rfam family "5.8S ribosomal RNA". Rfam says of the family: 5.8S ribosomal RNA (5.8S rRNA) is a component of the large subunit of the eukaryotic ribosome. Lineage: Eukaryota; Viridiplantae; Streptophyta; Magnoliopsida; Poales; Poaceae. The record is from RNAcentral.
ACACGACUCUCGGCAACGGAUAUCUCGGCUCUCGCAUCGAUGAAGAACGUAGCGAAAUGCGAUACCUGGUGUGAAUUGCAGAAUCCCGCGAACCAUCGAGUCUUUGAACGCAAGUUGCGCCCGAAGCCACUUGGCCGAGGGCACGCCUGCCUGGGCGUCACGC